UAGGGAAUCUUCGGCAAUGGGGGGAACCCUGACCGAGCAACGCCGCGUGAGUGAAGAAGGUUUUCGGAUCGUAAAGCUCUGUUGUUAAGGAAGAACGAGUGUGAGAAUGGAAAGUUCAUGCUGUGACGGUACUUAACCAGAAAGGGACGGCUAACUACGUGCCAGCAGCCGCGGUAAUACGUAGGUGGCAAGCGUUGUCCGGAUUUAUUGGGCGUAAAGCGAGCGCAGGCGGUCAAUUAAGUCUGAUGUGAAAGCCCCCGGCUCAACCGGGGAGGGUCAUUGUAAACUGGUUGACUUGAGUGCAGAAGAGGAGAGUGGAAUUCCAUGUGUAGCGGUGAAAUGCGUAGAUAUAUGGAGGAACACCGGUGGAGAAAGCGGCUCUAUGGUCUGUAACUGACGCUGAGGAUCGAAAGCGUGGGGAGCGAACAGG
This 430-nucleotide ribosomal RNA is filed under the name Bacteroidota bacterium. RNAcentral's name for it is "Bacteroidetes bacterium partial 16S ribosomal RNA". It matches the Rfam family "Bacterial small subunit ribosomal RNA", at positions 355 to 776 of the family's 1533-position model. The record is from RNAcentral. Lineage: Bacteria; Pseudomonadati; Bacteroidota.